UUGUUGGUUUUACUUUAUGUAAAAGUAUCGGAAUUUAUCCUCUUUGGGAAAAAUGUUGACAUGUGUUUUUUCCAGAAUUUCAUUCUGAGGAACAAUUAAAACCUAAGCAGGCUGACUGCAUUAGCUUUUUAAAGAAAUUUUAACUCCAUUUUAAUUUUGCAGACUUCACUCCUAGUGCCAUAUUAUGAAAAAGAAAGAGAUAGUGAAUUAUACUGAAUCUGCAUUCUCUGUGUAUAGAGGAUUACUUUAAUUGUAAUAUAUAUUGACAGUCCCAGGUAAAGAGAUAUGAUAAGGUACUCCAGAGAGCAAGUAUGUGAAACAUUCUUCCCUAUGAUCUAAUUCUGUAGAAAAUGGGACAUUCUCUUUUACUCACUGGAAAUAGCUAUUCUUCCAAAUAUGCACAUGACCUAAACUGAGUUACUAGAAAAUUAACCAUAGCAGAACUGUGUAUGUGAGUGAUGGAGAGGGGAGAAUGGGCUUCCCAGGUCUGAAGUUCAAUUAGAGAAAAGACACAUAAAUAUAUUAGACUCUAGAAAUGCUCAAGGUGGGCUCAGUUUAAUUCAGUGUAUCAAAUAUUUGUUAAAUUCCCAUUGAUUUUCAGACACUUUGAGCUGAAUCAGUCCUAUCUUUUAAUGAGUCUACUCAUUAAAAGUCAUAGUCAAUGCC
RNAcentral lists this long non-coding RNA (666 nucleotides) under Bos taurus (domestic cattle). Its description in RNAcentral is "long non-coding RNA NONBTAT023650". Lineage: Eukaryota; Metazoa; Chordata; Mammalia; Artiodactyla; Bovidae. The record is from RNAcentral.